GCAAGCCGCAGCAGUAGGGCUCAGAUGAGGAGCCCAGUAUCCUUAGCAUUGAUUGGCCUGUGACCCUAUCCCUCCAGACUCCCCCGUAUAAAUUUGAGGACCCUGCUUUUGGCUUCUGUGCAGUUUUGCAUUACGCUACUUUGUUUCAACUUCAAGCCAUUGGUUUGUGCCCUACUCUCUGCUGCAGGAGAAGAAAGCCAGCCUUUCAGGAUGGGAACUCCUUGCCUUUCCAAAAGCAGUACUUUGUGGGACACGGCAAAGGAUUUCCGGUGGCAAAGGUCAGGGGUUAGGUGCAGGCCUUCCCAUCCCAAGAUGA
Molecule: long non-coding RNA, 316 nt
Organism: Gavialis gangeticus (Gharial)
Lineage: Eukaryota; Metazoa; Chordata; Crocodylia; Gavialidae
Exons: 3
Source: RefSeq, a predicted model, not a curated record